RNAcentral lists this ribosomal RNA (359 nucleotides) under Vibrio sp. HR08-16. RNAcentral's name for it is "partial 16S ribosomal RNA". It matches the Rfam family "Bacterial small subunit ribosomal RNA", at positions 104 to 466 of the family's 1533-position model. The record is from RNAcentral. Lineage: Bacteria; Pseudomonadati; Pseudomonadota; Gammaproteobacteria; Vibrionales; Vibrionaceae.
GGGUGAGUAAUGCCUAGGAAAUUGCCCUGANNUGGGGGAUAACCAUUGGAAACGAUGGCUAAUACCGCAUAAUANCUNNGGGUCAAAGAGGGGGACCUUCGGGCCUCUCGCGUCAGGANNUGCCUAGGUGGGAUUAGCUAGUUGGUGAGGUAAUGGNUCACCAAGGCGACGAUCCCUAGCUGGUCUGAGAGGAUGAUCAGCCACACUGGAACUGAGACACGGUCCAGACUCCUACGGGAGGCAGCAGUGGGGAAUAUUGCACANUGGGCGCAAGCCUGAUGCAGCCAUGCCGCGUGUGUGANNAAGGCCUUCGGGUUGUAAAGCACUUUCAGUCGUGANGAAGGUANUGUAGUUAAUAG